Long non-coding RNA from Mirounga angustirostris (Northern elephant seal), 1956 nucleotides. RefSeq lists it as uncharacterized. The transcript has 4 exons. Lineage: Eukaryota; Metazoa; Chordata; Mammalia; Carnivora; Phocidae. The record is from RefSeq and is a predicted model, not a curated record.
ACAGGAUAAUACUGUUGCUAUGAGGGGCUUUGGUUUCUCUGCAAUCCAAUAGCUUGCGUUAAGAAAUAUGCCUCUCUUUCAGUGAACCUUCUCUAAAUACCACAGAAUAGGUGUCGUUGAGAUCCUGAGAGCAGCCUUCAUAUUGAGGGACUGGGGUUAGCUGCGGAGUGACACAGGCCUGGAGCCUUACACGCAACCUUGUUUGCACAGAGGCCAGAAAUGAGUAGAGUCAAGAGAAACUGGUGAACAAAACCUGACCUUCCUUCCAGCUGCUCCCUGCAAAAAUGCCCUGCACAAAUGCAAAAAAGCAGAGUGGAGUUCAGCUGGAAGAUGGCUUGAGAAUUUCAUGAUCAAAAUUUCCUCUUUCCGGGAACCGGCUAUUGAGUUGGAAGCCUCGGGCCGGAAGGCACUGCAGAAUCUUUGGGGACAAACAGAAAAUGGAGGACCUUGACUUGCCCAUAUUAAGUCAGUCAGCAGCAACUGGAGAUUUUAGUCCAGGGUUCCAGACCUACCAGAAAGGGCAAAUCUCUCUAUUUCCUAGCCUUGAAGGAUUUACCUGGCAAGUCAAGAAAGUCUCAUUUCCUGGAAUUGAACUCUUAGAACUCAGCUCUCGGGGUAAGUGUGGGUGUUAGUGAAGACGGCCAGCAGCCGUGGAGGAGGGCGGGGUGGUGAGAACGUUCUUCACCAGUGUGGGCAGAGACCAGCUCCACGACAGACAGUGCAAUCUCUUCCUGACGUUCCAGAUGCAGGCCAGGUAGGCAAAAAGGAAGUAGAAGACACCAUCAUACCUAGACUCCAGAAGGCUUUCAUUCCAUUUGGAUCAAUUUUAGAGGCCGCCCCACUCAAACGGGGCCCUUUCUGACAUCCUGCCUCCACCGCACUGCCUCGUGGGCAGAAGGGUCUCACCUCGGCUGUCUCGGGGUCCAGCCUUCAAUCCGGAUGCUCAGCAGGUGUUUCCAAAUUCCCAGCAGGACUGUCCGCUGUGCUCCAGGCGGAUUCCUCCCAUCCUCCCUCCCUUCUCCCCUCUCUCUUCCCCUUUUCCUCCUUUCUCCCCUCCUUUCUUCCUUCCGGCCAAUAUAUUUAUUGCUGGAUGCCCGGCACUGAGACUUUGUUCCUGAUCUGGGGUUAAGCUGAGCUCUUAGAUUUGAAGAUGCCAGAGACCAGUGUUGAAAGCACCUUGAGGGAGGAGAGCAUUUAUGGGGUGUGUUGAAGAAAGACGCUCGGCCGAUUGGAAAGACUGAAAUGGUUUGGACUUAACGAAGCCGACCGGCGUAGCAGAGGGGCUAAGGGCGAAGCACGGGGAGAGUCGGUGCGCCAAGUGCGGGAGGGCAAAGCUCAAGCAGCAACGCACAUCCAAUGUGAUGGUGGAGCACCUCCUCCCGUUCCUCCUGCCCUGUGCCAGCCACAAGGGGAGCCGAGAGAAAAGUGGAAAAGAUGCUCUGGGGAGGCACGCCGAGGCAGCUACCAUGCUGGAGCCGCUGACCCCGACACUCCGCAUGGGUUCCCCGGUGAUUUCCAGGCGGGGCAGCUGGGAAACAGGCACAGAGGGUUAGUGGUUUCCCAGGAAGGGAUACACUUCCUGCAAUGAAUCACCCUGUGUCAAGGAGGAUUUUUAUGACAUCAGCUUCCAAGCAGAUCACCGAGACUCCGCCACUCAAGAGGGCACUGGAGCUUAACACCACCAGAGCCCACACUUGAUGUUUUCUUUCUUGUAUUUUCCAAGGGGACAUUUGGACCAAAAGUGGCCUGUGCCCCUGGAAACUCUGAGUAGUGGCUUGGCAUCUUAGGAAUCCGUCUGUUGUGCUUUGUGGAAGAGUCUGGAAAGGUCUAGUUUUGUCUGGAAAACAAAACUCAUGGUUGUUACUGUGAAAGUGUAACCCCGCUUACUCCCUUCUAAUAAAUGCUGCAAUCUCGAAAUAACAUGAAUUAAAUAAAGUGAUCCCUUGGUAUCUAGAU